This is a long non-coding RNA of Carassius gibelio (silver crucian carp), 611 nucleotides long. RefSeq lists it as uncharacterized. The transcript is spliced from 3 exons. The record is from RefSeq and is a predicted model, not a curated record. NCBI's taxonomy places the organism in Eukaryota, Metazoa, Chordata, Actinopteri, Cypriniformes, Cyprinidae.
GACGAUGUGUUGGAGUCGGGGGCGGCGGGGAUGGGAAACUCCGGCCGAGGCAGCGGCCAAGUACAGGAGCGGGGUCUGGAGAGCGGCUCGAAGUCCGGGUCGAUCUCGACCAUCUGGUUUUGGGCUGCGUCAGCCAUGCUUCUGCAGGAUAGGACAGCGACCUUCUCUUAUUUUCAGGGCUCAUGGUUCCAGAAAGCCUCUGCGUGACGAACCAUAUACACACCCCUGCCCUGACUUUGUUUCGAGGCCCUUGAACCAAGUGCAUGAUUGGAUAUAGUCUGUAGAAGUGUGUGCUGCCAGGACAGUCAGCGAUCCAGAAGAAGGGGUGGAAAGCGGUGCAUAAUACAAAAAUUUAACCAUGUCUCCACAUCCUUGUCACCCAAGACAUCAUUGAUCUGUCAGCUGGAGCAUGUGGUAACAGCCUUGCAUCAUUCAUUUCUUGUGUCUAUCUAUCUAUCUAUAUGUGUGUAUAUAUAUAUCUAUCUAUCUAUAUGUGUUAUCCGCUUUGUUUCGGGAUUGGACAAAGGCACAAAUCUCAGGUGAGGUACCAUUAAAGUAAACUCCCAGAAAUACAAUAUGUCAUUGUACUAUUUAACCAGAGGCAGACAUAG